Molecule: long non-coding RNA, 757 nt
Filed under: Salmo salar (Atlantic salmon)
Lineage: Eukaryota; Metazoa; Chordata; Actinopteri; Salmoniformes; Salmonidae
Description: lncRNA (ENSSSAG00000094366.1)
Source: RNAcentral
GCACUUCAGGAGUAAAUGUCAGUUGGCUUUUCAUAGCCAAUCAGUGAGAGUAUCUCUACCGCUCCUGCUGUCUCUAGAGAGUUGAAAACAGCAGGUGCGGUAGAGAUACUCUCAAAGAUCGGCUAUGAAAAAGCCAACUGACACUUACUCUUGUGUUACUGACUUGUUACACCCUCGACAACUACUAUGAUUAUUAUUAUUUGACAAUGCUGGUCAUUUAUGAACAUUUGAACAUCUAGGCCAUGUGCUGUUAUAAUCUCCACCCGGCACAGCCAGAAGAGGACUGGCCACCCCUCAUAGCCUGGUUCCUCUCGAGGUUUCUUCCUAGGUUUUUGGCCUUUCUAGGGAGUUUUUCCUAGGGAGUUUUUCCUAGCCACCGUGCUUCUUUCACAUGCUUUGCUUGCUGUUUGGGGUUUUAGGCUGGGUUUCUGUACAGCACUUUGAGAUAUCAGCUGAUGUACGAAGGGCUAUAUAAAAAUACAUUUGAUUGAUUUGAAUUUGAAUACCAUCAUGGCCACCUAAUCAUCCCCAGCUUACAAUUGGCUCAUUCAUCCCUCUCCCCUGUAACUAUUCCCCAGGUUGUUGCUGUAAAUGACAAUGUGUUCUCAGUCAGCUUACCUAGUAAAAUAAUGGUAAAAAAAAUUUGGAGGUGUGGAUGUAUUUCAAGGCCUACCUUCAAAUGCAGUGCCUCUUUGCUUGACAUCAUGGGAAAAUAAAAAGAAAUCAGACCUCCACAAGUCUGGUUUGUCCUUGGGAG